AUUGAACGCUGGCGGCAUGCUUUACACAUGCAAGUCGAACGGUAACAGGCCGCAAGGUGCUGACGAGUGGCGAACGUGUGAGUAAUGCAUCGGAACGUGCCCAGUCGUGGGGGAUAACUACUCGAAAGAGUAGCUAAUACCGCAUACGAUCUAUGGAUGAAAGCGGGGGACCGUAAGGCCUCGCGCGAUUGGAGCGGCCGAUGUCAGAUUAGGUAGUUGGUGGGGUAAAGACUCACCAAGCCAACGAUCUGUAGCUGGUCUGAGAGGACGACCAGCCACACUGGGACUGAGACACGGCCCAGACUCCUACGGGAGGCAGCAGUGGGGAAUUUUGGACAAUGGGCGCAAGCCUGAUCCAGCAAUGCCGCGUGCAGGAAGAAGGCCUUCGGGUUGUAAACUGCUUUUGUACGGAACGAAACGGCUCUGGUUAAUACCCGGGGCUAAUGACGGUACCGUAAGAAUAAGCACCGGCUAACUACGUG
This 482-nucleotide ribosomal RNA is filed under the name uncultured bacterium. RNAcentral describes it as "partial 16S ribosomal RNA". It matches the Rfam family "Bacterial small subunit ribosomal RNA", at positions 30 to 507 of the family's 1533-position model. The record is from RNAcentral.